This 530-nucleotide ribosomal RNA is filed under the name uncultured bacterium. Its description in RNAcentral is "bacterial SSU rRNA". It matches the Rfam family "Bacterial small subunit ribosomal RNA", at positions 777 to 1304 of the family's 1533-position model. The record is from RNAcentral.
AAUAGAUACCCGGGUAGUCCACGCCGUAAACGAUGAGUGCUAAGUGUUAGAGGGUUUCCGCCCUUUAGGUGCUGCAGCUAACGCAUUAAGCACUCCGUCUGGGGAGUACGGCCGCAAGGCUGAAACUCAAAGGAAUUGACGGGGGCCCGCACAAGCGGUGGAGCAUGUGGUUUAAUUCGAAGCAACGCGAAGAACCUUACCAGGUCUUGACAUCCUCUGCCAACCCUAGAGAUAGGGCGUUCCCCUUCGGGGGACAGAGUGACAGGUGGUGCAUGGUUGUCGUCAGCUCGUGUCGUGAGAUGUUGGGUUAAGUCCCGCAACGAGCGCAACCCUUGAUCUUAGUUGCCAGCAUUCAGUUGGGCACUCUAAGGUGACUGCCGGUGACAAACCGGAGGAAGGUGGGGAUGACGUCAAAUCAUCAUGCCCCUUAUGACCUGGGCUACACACGUGCUACAAUGGAUGGUACAAAGAGCUGCGAACCCGCGAGGGUAAGCCAAUCUCAUAAAGCCAUUCUCAGUUCGGAUUGUAGG